GCGCUGGUAGUGUAGUGGGAUCACGCGGCCGUUCCACGGCCGUGACCCAGGUUCGACUCCUGGCCAGCGCA
Molecule: transfer RNA, 71 nt
Filed under: Candidatus Halobonum tyrrellensis G22
Lineage: Archaea; Methanobacteriati; Methanobacteriota; Halobacteria; Halobacteriales; Haloferacaceae
Rfam family: tRNA
About the family: Transfer RNA (tRNA) molecules are approximately 80 nucleotides in length. Their secondary structure includes four short double-helical elements and three loops (D, anti-codon, and T loops).
Source: Rfam by way of RNAcentral